UACGUAGGGUGCAAGCGUUGUCCGGAAUUAUUGGGCGUAAAGAGCUCGUAGGCGGUUUGUUGCGUCGGCUGUGAAAUCCCGAGGCUCAACCUCGGGUCUGCAGUCGAUACGAGCAAACUAGAGUGUUGCAGGGGAGACUGGAAUUCCUGGUGUAGCGGUGAAAUGCGCAGAUAUCAGGAGGAACACCGGUGGCGAAGGCGGCCCACUGGAUCGGUACUGACGC
Molecule: ribosomal RNA, 223 nt
Filed under: uncultured bacterium
Lineage: Bacteria
Description: partial 16S ribosomal RNA
Rfam family: Bacterial small subunit ribosomal RNA
Source: RNAcentral